CUCACUGGGGGAUAAAUUCCUCCAGUUGUUUGAAGUCUGAACCUCCUUAACGGCGUGAGGCGAAUCCUAGCCUUGGUCUGUUCAGUCGACGACCGUCGGCGACGAAACAAAGCCUGAAAGCUUCAAGCUUUCCGGCGGGUUUUCGGCAGUUUCAGGCGACUGCAUGCGGCUUUGUAUUGCUUUAUUCGACUUUGUCUUCCCAUCAGCAACUGGCUUAGGAUUAGCAUCAGGUUUAGAAGUCCGAGGUGGACUCGGCACCGGAGAUUCGUCGUCGUUCUUCUCCACAAUAUCUAACGAAUAUUGUUUAAGGAACCUACCCAAGCGUUAAGCCUA
Molecule: long non-coding RNA, 333 nt
Filed under: Rosa chinensis
Lineage: Eukaryota; Viridiplantae; Streptophyta; Magnoliopsida; Rosales; Rosaceae
Description: sRNA RchiOBHm_Chr6g0273771
Source: RNAcentral